CCUUGACUGUCAUCUGCUGAUAUGAGAUACUUCCUUCUCAAUCUAGAGUCUCACUAGCUGGAUGAGAGUGCCCUUGAAGAACAAGUCAGAACUUCUAGUAGAACAUUCCCACAGGCACAUGGACUAAAGAAGAUUUUAAGGCCUAAAAAUCUCCCUCUCUAUUAGUGACUUCUUAUAAACAGACACAGUUAAGGUGAAUGAUGAGCCAUAAAAGGAAGUUCCAACCAUCUUGACUCUCAGUGACAAUAACUGUAUAUUACUUUUUCUCUCAUUUCCAAUGAGCACAGAAGUUAUGAGGCGUGGUAGAUUGUAUUAUCAGGUCCACGUGUCUGCUUUCCUGCAAGGUGUGAGAAUGAUGCCUCUCAGCUACAUGGAUGUCAGGCUUCACCAUCUGGCCAAAAAGAGGUUUUGGUAUUUUCCCCUGUAUUUUCUGGUGUGCCUCUUGGCUAUAAAUAAUCUUGAUAGCAACUGCUGUAUGUGGACUGUGAGACUGAGACGCCCUCUUAGGUUAAAUCUUCAUACCUGAACAUGUUUGGAAUUAAUGUGUAUACCUCUGGCUUCCAUGGCCCCAAAUUGUUUAUGGAGCAGCAGCCAUUGUAUCUGUGUUCUAAGCAGAAGAAGAAUGGAGCAGGGAGGAGCUGGAAGAAAAGAGGAACACCUCCUAGUGGAAUCCAUUUUAUUUAAGGGUCCCCAUCAGAUGAAUUAAUUUUUUGACAAACCUCAGUUGCAAAGGAAGUGGUGUGUAUUGUUUUAGUUGGGCUCAUGGCUCCUCAGAAUAUAUUGGUCAGGUAGUAGGCAGGCUGUGUCAUAUCAUCUUUUAGGAAUGAGGCUUAGGUAGAAAGAAUAUUGCUUUAGAACCUGGUUAUAAUUGCAUUUAGAUCCUAGUUGGAUUGCUUUUUAGCUGUGUGACAAUGGGAAAUGUAUUUUCAUUUUCUGGAUCAGCUUUUGUAGUUGUAAAAUGGAGAUGAUAAUCCUUUCUCAUGGGCUGUUACAGAUUUGAUGCACAAGACAGCUCACGCAGCAUGCUCAGCACAGAGCUUAGCAUUUGAACGGUUAGUGCUGUCUUUCAUGCCUGAUAGAAUGUGCUAUUUACCCACAUGGAGGUUUUGAUCACCAGCUCUCAGCUACAGCUUCAAAUGCAAAUUCUCAGAUAUAAAACAUCGAAGGACAAAUCCAUAUUUUCAAUAAUUCUAGCAACAAUAAGAGCCGGCAAGAAGAUGAGAUGGUUAGCUUUUUGAGCUUGGCUUACCUCACUCAACAUGAUGUCCUCCAGUUUUGGCUAUUUUCCUGCCAAAGACAUAAUUUCAUUUUUCUUUAUGGGUGUAUAAUAUUCUGUGGUGUUUAUGUAGCAUAUUUUCUCUAUCUACUCAUCAGUUAUUGGGCAGUGUGAGAGCUAAAAGACAUGCAUAUAUGUGUAUUAUAUAUAAUACUAUGGUAUAUUAUACAUAUUAACAGCUACACACAUGUGCACAUACAUAUGCACACAUACACAAAGAACAUGUUUUUAAUUAUGGGACUAUUUGGGGAUCAAAAAGAAAGGGGAGAGGGAAAGAAUGGUGGAAUAAUGGAGGGUGGAUAGUACUGAAAUAAGGAAGUGCACUGCAAAGAUAUGAACAAUAGGGGCUGGAGUGGAC
Long non-coding RNA from Perognathus longimembris pacificus (Pacific pocket mouse), 1634 nucleotides. RefSeq lists it as uncharacterized. The record is from RefSeq and is a predicted model, not a curated record. The transcript has 3 exons. Lineage: Eukaryota; Metazoa; Chordata; Mammalia; Rodentia; Heteromyidae.